This 489-nucleotide long non-coding RNA is filed under the name Bos taurus (domestic cattle). RNAcentral describes it as "long non-coding RNA NONBTAT019642". The record is from RNAcentral. Lineage: Eukaryota; Metazoa; Chordata; Mammalia; Artiodactyla; Bovidae.
GCUUUAUUUAGGUCUCUUACAAAGGAGAAACAGAAAGUACUACUCUCAAAUAGGAAACAGGUGAACUCUACCAUACGGUGUUAAAAUCCGGUAAUUCAAAAACAGUACAUGCGUUGACUAGGAUGAACCACCUCAAGACUCUGUAUAUGCAGUUUAUACUAUAAAGUGCUACUUGAUAACCAAAUCUCCGCCAAAAAAAUUCCUUAAUGGGAGUAAGAUUGAUUGAUUCUCAUCAUACAGAUGAGCUUUCACUUAAAUUAAGGUUUUUAGAGACUGUUCAUAUGCCUUAGCUCUAUUUGAAUGUUUAUAAAUUUCUGUUCAUGUUACCAGAUCAUGCACUGUGGCUUUGUUUUUGCUACCUGGAGAUUGUACAGUGCCCUUUCUUAAACCCUCACUGAAUUAAUAUAUAUGUGAAACAAAAUUUCAGAACAAAAUUUGACUUGCGUGUUUAUUUGCAUAAGCCAAACAUUCAAAUAUUUCAUGUGGAAG